This is a long non-coding RNA of Notothenia coriiceps (black rockcod), 147 nucleotides long. RefSeq lists it as uncharacterized. The transcript is spliced from 3 exons. The record is from RefSeq and is a predicted model, not a curated record. NCBI's taxonomy places the organism in Eukaryota, Metazoa, Chordata, Actinopteri, Perciformes, Nototheniidae.
CGGAACCGGUCGAAACAGCAGCCUCAGAUUAUUUGCUACUAUGAAAGGACAAUAACAGAACAGAAAUGAAUGCAAGGAGAAGAGGUGGGCAGCCUAACAGAGGAGGGGGGAAGUUUAACAAGCCAAGAGGAAGAGGAGCAGGAAGAG